GGGCGCGUAGUCUAGUCUGGAUAGGGCGCCAGCCUUCGGAGUUGGAUGUCCCAGGUUCGAAACUCCGCUUGCAGCUUGGCGGAGCGAAACUCCUGGCGCGCCCGCCA
This 107-nucleotide transfer RNA is filed under the name Candidatus Thorarchaeota archaeon. RNAcentral's name for it is "tRNA-Arg". The record is from RNAcentral. Lineage: Archaea; Promethearchaeati; Candidatus Thorarchaeota.